Molecule: long non-coding RNA, 2475 nt
Organism: Lutra lutra (Eurasian river otter)
Lineage: Eukaryota; Metazoa; Chordata; Mammalia; Carnivora; Mustelidae
Exons: 3
Source: RefSeq, a predicted model, not a curated record
GACCAAGAUUAAAUCCUUAUGGACACACUACAGGGAAACAGAGUGACAAAACCUCAGUGCUGAGAAGUAUGAUUCCAUCUCCAACACCUACUCCUACUCCUGAAACACCAUAAACUCUGUAUCCUGCAUCCCAAGUGAUUCAACAAGGAAGGUAUAUACCCAAAAGAAUGGAAAGCAAGGUCUCAAAGAGACACUUGUAUAUCCAUAUUUAUAGCAACAUCCAUUAUUCACAAUAACUAAAAUAUGGAAGCAACCCAUCAGCAAGUGAAUGGGUCAACAGAUGACUGCACCAUUGGCCAUGUUGAACUAAGCCAGCAAGUUGCUAUCCUUUGUGAAGAUACCUUCAUAAGACAGCUUCUCCUUCUCUGCAAGCAUGCCUGUGGCUUCAGAAAUCUUCUCUGUGAUGCUAGAGAACUGAUCUGUGAGCAGGAGGCUGAAGAGUAGUGCCUGCCCUUUCAGUUUCCAUUCUGUCUUAUCCUGCAUGUUAGGCACCUGGAUUUUGAAGAACACCAGCCUUGUUUUUGUUCAAGAACUCCUCCUCGGGCAUGAGGCUCUUCUCUGUCUUCAGGGUCUUGGAGGUGUGUGUGCCUUCCAUGGGAAGCAGGGUUGGACAGUGGGCUUUGCGCCUAGGGCUGGGACCAGUGACAAAGGUGAAGCAGGGAAAAAGGCUGUUGGCACAAUCAUAGGGGAGGACGAGGUGCCAUGGUAAGGGGCCAGGGAGUCAUGGGCACCACAAUGAUCCUGGGUGAGUGUAUGAUAAGCAGCAUGGGAGUGAUAGCUGAGCCUGGGGGCAGUCAGACCAUGAGAGCCUUUGGGGCCAAGGACAUGAUGGUGCUGUGGCCACAAUUAUAGCAUGGAUGGACCAGAGGCAGCAUGGCACAUGAAAAUGAGGUGAUGAGAGGGUCAAGCUGGGAAUGUUGAUGACUGGGGGCACAAGUGGUGACUGCUGGGGGAUGCCAUUGGGCUUGCUGGGGCCAGUGUUCUCUUUGGUGUCAUGCUCCAACACUGGGCCCUUAGAUAGGCUCCUGACAGUUGAUAUUGGACUGGGUGGCCUGCUGGGUCCUGGUCAUGCUGCCUAAGUGACCAGUAUCAAUUAGAUAUUGCUGAAAGUGGUAUGAACUAUGUUUUAUGCUAUAGACUGUUAUUAUUUUCUAUUGUUAGUUUAAAAACAUCAUUAUUUCAUAACAUUUAUUUAUUUGUUUGUUUAUUGGGUUUAAGAUGGUUCCAAAUAAUGAUCAAAAAGAGGUAUAGAAACUUGUUGUAAUACUGUCUCAGAAUACAGCAAAUGAGAUUUAUUUAAAUGGGAAAAAAAGGAAAUAAAUAUUGAUGGAUGAUGAAUAGAUGAGAAAAAUUCAUGGAAGAAUGAAUAAAUGCAUGAUACAGUAUGGAGACAGAAUCUAUGUAAUUAGAUCAAUUCCUACCAUGGGGGAACAUUAGAUGUUGAUGUCAAGGAUUUAUUAGAAAUGUUAUUGAAGAUAUGUAGGGUAAUGUUCAUAUAAUUAACAGAAAUCAGAAUGAUGGAAAAGGCAGUAGCGUUUUUGAAGCAGAAGUAAUAUAUUUGUUUGAUGUAUUUAGAUAAAUGUUCCAUUGGGGCAAAUUUGAAGUAAUGCCAAACAGUUGAAAUUACAAACCUAAACUUUAAGAGAGUCUUUUUGGAUUAUAAAAGUUGAUAACACAUAUGCAAAGAAUACAAAUUCAACUGUAGGAAUAGAUUCAAAUUAGAAUCAGACAAAAUGAUACAAGAAAGAAGGUUUUGGAGACAGGGCCAUUUGGAAUGAAAAUUGCUAGGUAGGGGAUGACAGUAUGAGAAAGACCAGAACAAUAACCUAGAAGAUAAGGUUUAUAUUUGUUAGGAACCUAGAAGCCAGAGAAAGGGAAUUUUAAAAGUUGAUUUGCCAGUUGGAAAAAAAAAAAAGCAUUAAAUAUUUCAGAAAUUAAGGGUUUUAUGCAAUGAGUGAUCAGUUUUGCUAAAUAAAGAAUAUCAUUUGGACUGUUUGAAAACUUUUGUCAAAGACCAUUAACUGUGUCAUAUGGGAAAAUAGAAGAGUCCCUACCGAGUUUAUGUCAUGUCAUAUGGAAUAAGCCUAAAGGUUUAGAAUUAUUCUUCAGUUUUGAGCAAAAUUAACACUAACAUUUUUAGUAAAAUAUGUUUAUGCAAAUGUGCAGUUUUCUGAUGAUAUUCAAGAGCAGUAUUGAGGUGUCAUUUUAUACAUAUGAGAAUGUCUAUUUACUUAAACACAAGAGAUGUCCAGUAGUUGUUUCUCAAUAUUAAUAACCAAAAUAUGACCAUUCACUAUUAUGUUGAGAUGCUAACUCAUUCUAUUUUUUUGUGUGAAGUAGGAAUUAUGUGAUAUUUUCUAUUUAUAUGUUAUGCUUCUAUACUAUUUGUAUCAUGUUUAAGGAUUAAAAAAAAAACAACAACCAACUAAAACCAAAAGAAGUUACCAAAUAAAUUUUUCAGGGCAAAAGGGAGGA